This 144-nucleotide unclassified non-coding RNA is filed under the name uncultured Ascomycota. Its description in RNAcentral is "sequence contains ITS2". Lineage: Eukaryota; Fungi; Ascomycota. The record is from RNAcentral.
AAACUCUCAAGCUAUGCUUGGUAUUGGAAGAUGUCCUCUGGGACCCUUCCGCAACCUGUCAGUGCGGGACCUACCGGCUUCAAGCGUAGCAAAACUUUCGCUUCGUCGUUUGGUUGGCCUCUGCCUCACAAUCAAUCACUUCAA